This 394-nucleotide long non-coding RNA is filed under the name Salmo salar (Atlantic salmon). RNAcentral describes it as "lncRNA (ENSSSAG00000112590.1)". The record is from RNAcentral. Lineage: Eukaryota; Metazoa; Chordata; Actinopteri; Salmoniformes; Salmonidae.
AAAGUAUGUCAUCAAUCAUGAGUCUCUAAAGCCUUGUUCACACUGCAGGCCUUAAUGCUCAAAUCACUUUUGUUUUUCAAAUCUGUUUUGGAAUACUGACUGGCCAAACAGCAAGUUACAAGUGACCGGACUUGUGUGUUCAGACAGCAGUUAUUUGCUGACAAGGCUAUGCUAGUUGUCAUAGUUACGACGAGUGUGUGCGCAGUGGUGUAGGCUAUUUGGUGGUGGUACUCGUGCUUCCUAUCAUUCUGAAGGUAUGUAACAAGCUAAGGGGACAACAAUGCCUGUCAUGGACGUUUCCUAUCAUUCUGAAGGUAUGUAACAAGCUAAGGGGACAACAAUGCCUGUCAUGGACGUUUCCUAUCAUUCUGAAGGUAUGUAACAAGCUAAGGGG